AAGACACCCACACGAAAACCGGAAGGCAGCCUUGAGUGUCGUGUGAUAAGUUUAUCGGCGCCAUCUCGCCAGCCACCCCCUCCCCAGGGUCUCGAUCAAUGGGACACAGUGCGCCUCCAGUCUGAGAGGCUUCCUUGGGUGGGUGGUGGGACUGCAAGGUGGCCCUUUGGCAGAGUCUACAAGAGCUAAAUUAGGUCGCCAAGUGGCCCAUUACCCACAUAAUCUAGCCCUACCUUCCAGAACAACUGAGAAAUGCCUCAGUGGGCAGAGCCUCAAGUCCACCAGAUAACAGGCCCCAACUUGACCUCUUGUCAUCAGAAAUCACUGCCAAGUUUCCAAGCCAGGGAAAGAGCAACAGUCGUGAGGCCUGUUCCACGCACCCACCUAUGAUCCUCUCGCUGGAGGCAGAGAUCACCAGCCUAGAACAGAGCUGAAGAAAGACAGAUACUCUGUGUUGGAAAUUGCAAAAGCUCUCUGCAAGAACAACUCCAUCCGAACCCUGCCCUACGACACUCAACCAAGCUCUAGCAAAGCUUCUGGCAGCCUCAGGCCACACCCCUGGGACAACCCACCGCCGCUUUGCACUCCUGUGUGGAAAAGCUCAGGGCUGCCAAAAGAAUUC
This 622-nucleotide long non-coding RNA is filed under the name Homo sapiens (human). RNAcentral describes it as "non-protein coding lnc-CD6-1:1". The record is from RNAcentral. Lineage: Eukaryota; Metazoa; Chordata; Mammalia; Primates; Hominidae.